Molecule: ribosomal RNA, 433 nt
Filed under: uncultured bacterium
Lineage: Bacteria
Description: partial 16S ribosomal RNA
Rfam family: Bacterial small subunit ribosomal RNA
Source: RNAcentral
AACGAACGCUGGCGGCAUGCCUAACACAUGCAAGUCGAACGAUGCUUUCGGGCAUAGUGGCGCACGGGUGCGUAACGCGUGGGAAUCUGCCCUUGGGUUCGGAAUAACAGUGAGAAAUUGCUGCUAAUACCGGAUGAUGUCUUCGGACCAAAGAUUUAUCGCCCAGGGAUGAGCCCGCGUAGGAUUAGCUAGUUGGUGGGGUAAUGGCCUACCAAGGCGACGAUCCUUAGCUGGUCUGAGAGGAUGAUCAGCCACACUGGGACUGAGACACGGCCCAGACUCCUACGGGAGGCAGCAGUGGGGAAUAUUGGACAGUGGGCGCAAGCCUGAUCCAGCAAUGCCGCGUGAGUGAUGAAGGCCUUAGGGUUGUAAAGCUCUUUUACCCGGGAUGAUAAUGACAGUACCGGGAGAAUAAGCUCCGGCUAACUCCGUG